Molecule: non-coding RNA, 73 nt
Organism: Trachymyrmex septentrionalis
Lineage: Eukaryota; Metazoa; Arthropoda; Insecta; Hymenoptera; Formicidae
Source: Rfam
CUCUCGGUAGUCUAAAGGCUUAGGAUGCUCGCAUGGAAUGCAAAAGAUCCGGGUUCGACUCUCGGCCGAGGCA